GAAGAAGCUAAUUACACAUUUUGGGAACUCGAAAAGCUCGAAGCAUGCUGGAUCUCAGUUGAAGGACCUUUGUCUGCAAGCUAGUGAAGCACCAAUGAAUAACGAUUUGUUAAGAACGAUGAAUUUGGGGUUAUGGAGCACUGACCAAGCAGGUACGUCGAAUUCUACUAAUAGGAGCUUAAAUUGGAGUCCUGAAGUAGUUUAAGGAACAGUACAUUCAUCUGCAAUGGGGAGUGUAGCUCAGCACCCACUGUUCCAUUGAGCAGUACUCGAGUGGAUGUUCUUAGUACAAAUCUGGAGAAUAAGGGAAAAAAUGUCGGGGUAAAAGCUUCUCUUGAGGCUGAAACCAAGGUGAACCCAUGGAUGAAUUAAUUUACUGGUAAUCGAGUUGCAACAAAUGAAAUGAUGUUGAAUUGCAUUCUCCCUGAAUUGGUUAAUGAAUACCUGUGGUGAAGAUAGAAAAGCUGGAACAAGAACAGGAGGAAACCAAAUGGUGACAUUCGUUGGUAUUAUAUGUUAUUUGGGACAUGCCAUGCUAUAAUUAUAUGAAACUGUAUAUAUCACAAACUUGAACUUGUAUUGCUGCUCCAGAAUGAUAUACUAUCAUGAUGUAGGGUACUAUCUAGUGAAAUUACAACUGGAAGCGGAUAUGAAAGAGAUCUUAUUUACAGGGC
This 674-nucleotide long non-coding RNA is filed under the name Capsicum annuum. RNAcentral describes it as "long non-coding RNA (CANN_LNC000593)". The record is from RNAcentral. Lineage: Eukaryota; Viridiplantae; Streptophyta; Magnoliopsida; Solanales; Solanaceae.